CUACGGGCUGCAGCAGUGGGGAAUAUUGCACAAUGGGCGCAAGCCUGAUGCAGCCAUGCCGCGUGUAUGAAGAAGGCCUUCGGGUUGUAAAGUACUUUCAGCGGGGAGGAAGGGAGUAAAGUUAAUACCUUUGCUCAUUGACGUUACCCGCAGAAGGAGCACCGGCGAACUCCGUGCCAGCAGCCGCGGUAAUACGGAGGGUGCAAGCGUUAAUCGGAAUUACUGGGCGUAAAGCGCACGCAGGCGGUUUGUUAAGUCAGAUGUGAAAUCCCCGGGCUCAACCUGGGAACUGCAUCUGAUACUGGCAAGCUUGAGUCUCGUAGAGGGGGGUAGAAUUCCAGGUGUAGCGGUGAAAUGCGUAGAGAUCUGGAGGAAUACCGGUGGCGAAGGCGGCCCCCUGGACGAAGACUGACGCUCAGGUGCGAAAGCGUGGGGAGCAAACAGGAUUAGAUACCCCCGUAGUC
This 464-nucleotide ribosomal RNA is filed under the name uncultured bacterium. RNAcentral describes it as "partial 16S ribosomal RNA". It matches the Rfam family "Bacterial small subunit ribosomal RNA", at positions 339 to 795 of the family's 1533-position model. The record is from RNAcentral.